Molecule: long non-coding RNA, 281 nt
Organism: Hordeum vulgare subsp. vulgare (domesticated barley)
Lineage: Eukaryota; Viridiplantae; Streptophyta; Magnoliopsida; Poales; Poaceae
Exons: 3
Source: RefSeq, a predicted model, not a curated record
UAGUAGGACUGUGGUUAUGAUUUCGGCGCACAGGAUAUCAACGACAAUUUGUCCAUUGUGUUUCCCACAAUUUGGGGCCAUCUACUCACUACAAGACAAACGCAUAACUGAUGUUAUUGCUAUUGUUGCCUAUGUUAGUAAGAUACAAACUCUAUGGGAUCCAAUAUAUGAUAGACAUGUCCCUUUGCUCGAAAUUGGCCUCAUGAACUUUCGACGUCAGAUAAUUUUCCUACGCAUAUAUGACGAGCACGUUGGCCGUCAAUUUUACCAUUUGCGACGCA